Molecule: ribosomal RNA, 399 nt
Filed under: uncultured bacterium
Lineage: Bacteria
Description: bacterial SSU rRNA
Rfam family: Bacterial small subunit ribosomal RNA
Source: RNAcentral
GCCCCGGCUAACUACGUGCCAGCAGCCGCGGUAAUACGUAGGGGGCGAGCGUUGUCCGGAAUUAUUGGGCGUAAAGGGUACGUAGGCGGCUUUUUAAGUUUGACGUGAAAGCCCGGGGCUUAACUCCGGCAAGCGUUGAAAACUGGAGGGCUUGAGUGAUGGAAGGGACAGUGGAAUUCCUGGUGUAGUGGUGAAAUGCGCAGAGAUCAGGAAGAAUACCAGUGGCGAAGGCGACUGUCUGGACAUUAACUGACGCUGAGGUACGAAAGCGUGGGGAGCAAACAGGAUUAGAUACCCUGGUAGUCCACGCCGUAAACGAUGAGCACUAGGUAUCGGGGUCAGAAGACUUCGGUGCCGCCGUUAACGCAUUAAGUGCUCCGCCUGGGGAGUACGUACGCA